This 77-nucleotide transfer RNA is filed under the name Desulfobulbus propionicus. RNAcentral's name for it is "tRNA-Met". It matches the Rfam family "tRNA". Rfam says of the family: Transfer RNA (tRNA) molecules are approximately 80 nucleotides in length. Their secondary structure includes four short double-helical elements and three loops (D, anti-codon, and T loops). RNAcentral also lists the same sequence under 8 other names. The record is from RNAcentral. Lineage: Bacteria; Pseudomonadati; Thermodesulfobacteriota; Desulfobulbia; Desulfobulbales; Desulfobulbaceae.
CGCGGGGUGGAGCAGUUCGGUAGCUCGUCGGGCUCAUAACCCGAAGGUCGGGGGUUCAAAUCCCUCCCCCGCUACCA